This 871-nucleotide long non-coding RNA is filed under the name Daucus carota (carrot). RNAcentral describes it as "long non-coding RNA (DCAR_LNC002446)". The record is from RNAcentral. Lineage: Eukaryota; Viridiplantae; Streptophyta; Magnoliopsida; Apiales; Apiaceae.
GGCAAAGUUGAUGAACUAAUCAAGGACAAAAUAGAGGCAGCAAAUGAAAUGAAGGCUAAAGAAAGUGAAGAGAAGGAUGUGAUUAAGCAACAGGUAUCGUUUAAUCUCCUGCUUAUUUUGCAAAUAAAUGGCUCUCCAUCUUAUUAGUACUGAAUGGAAAUGGAUUUUAAUAUUUAUAGUUUUAUACUUUAUCUUCUGAGCUUGAAAUGGGAUAAUAUUAUGAAACAUAAAAAUAUACAUGUAUCUGAGAACUUUGAAAAAGGGUGAGAAAUUGUGAGUUUUGGCCCACUGCUUUCUGCUAUGUAUCAGAGUUUAGGACUUGCAAUGCACCAUCAAUUAAAUAUAAUAGGUAUCACCAUUUAAUUGUUUUAAUUUUUUUUGCUGAUAUUUUGUCAAUUAUUCUCCAUUUCAGAAAGUCAGUUUAUUAUUAAUAUAUAAUAAUUUGCUGAAUAUGUUAUGAACCUUUCCUUUUUGCAGAAUAUGUAUGCACAGUUGUUGCCUCUUGCUUUACCUGCACCGCCGGGUAUGGGAGGAGCUGGAAUGUCAGGUUAUGGCCAGCCACCACCACCAGGUAUGGGUGGAAUGGGGAUGCCUCCAAUGCCCCCAUACGGCAUGCCACCAAUGGGAUAUUGAUUACUGUAGUCGGAAUUUGCAAGUGAUUAGACAUUGCACAGAGUACAAGGAAACUCUAGCAUUUAUAAUCCCCAGUGUUCGGUGCGGCACCUAAUGUUCAUUUAUUUUCCUUCUCUCUCGUGAUAGUGUUUUCAUUGGUCAAGGCAUAUAGGUCUCUGGUAAUAACAUCGUUUUACUUAUGGCUGUCAAUAGUUUGGAUAUAGAUGUCUCUUUGUAAUAUUCUUUCCUAGUUGAGCCG